GUCUCUAUAAGUCUGUCUUUAACCAAAAUAGAGCCUGAGUCUGUAGGUUAAGGGUUAUGCUUGCUUUUACUAUUAUUUCAACUUACUUUCCCUGCCCUGUAAUUCUUCACUAGCAGUUUUCUUUUUCAGAUUGUAUGUAACUAUGUUUCUUUGCUUUUAAAGGUUGGUGAUGUUGGGCUUGUUGAAGAUGAGACAGUGAUAGAGAAUGAUUGGACUUGAGACUCUGGUAGGUUUUGCUCUACAAAUAUCUUAUUUCACUGUUUCGAUGUACAUCUCAUCAUUUUUAUCUGUAUAAGUUGUUGAUUAUUCUGCCCCAUGUUGAAGUUGCAAUUUUCUUGCCUGGUAUUGUGCUUUUUUGCAAAAUUUCUGCUGUUUGAUCCUAUGAAAUUCUCAUGACUAGUUGCUCAUUUGAAAUAGAGUUGUAUUGUUUCAGCUUGCAAGUUUCAGUUGCUUUAGAACAUGGUCCCUUGAUAUAGAGACGUGAGUUGCAAUCUGAGCCCAGCUUGCAACUGUUGACUGUGCACUAGAAACCCUUUCCAUGGUUUUAUUGAUUUAUGGAUGAAUGAGGUUGAUAUGCUAAAUUCUCAUCAGAUAUCAAAAUUUCCCCUUUGUUAUGGUUAUUGGGAAUUGCUUUUUCUUUUCUUUAUUUUAUAUCUUAGAUUAUAUAUAUCUGAGAGCUUAAUUUCUGAUGUUUGCUAGGUAGGAUACAAAGUUGUAUAUCCAGGACAUCAAAACAUUGGGAAGGGGGGACUACAUAUUUUAUGCACUAGAAGCUCUCUGCUUAUUUCAUUGUGCUUUAUAUCAUUUCAUAUGUUUCUAGGUGCGGGGCUAUACUUUCAACAUUAAAUCAGAGGCUGUUGAAUCUCUUGAGUUGGAUUCUUUCGAUCAUUCAUUCAAGUUCUGUAAUUUCACUGUCAUAAUCAGAUACGAUUCCUGGUGAGGAUUCCUGGUGA
RNAcentral lists this long non-coding RNA (953 nucleotides) under Gossypium barbadense (sea-island cotton). Its description in RNAcentral is "long non-coding RNA (GBAR_LNC009398)". The record is from RNAcentral. Lineage: Eukaryota; Viridiplantae; Streptophyta; Magnoliopsida; Malvales; Malvaceae.